RNAcentral lists this ribosomal RNA (432 nucleotides) under uncultured bacterium. RNAcentral describes it as "partial 16S ribosomal RNA". It matches the Rfam family "Bacterial small subunit ribosomal RNA", at positions 29 to 506 of the family's 1533-position model. The record is from RNAcentral.
AACGAACGCUGGCGGCAUGCCUAACACAUGCAAGUCGAACGAUGCUUUCGGGCAUAGUGGCGCACGGGUGCGUAACGCGUGGGAAUCUGCCCUUGGGUUCGGAAUAACAGUGAGAAAUUGCUGCUAAUACCGGAUGAUGUCUUCGGACCAAAGAUUUAUCGCCCAGGGAUGAGCCCGCGUAGGAUUAGCUAGUUGGUGGGGUAAUGGCCUACCAAGGCGACGAUCCUUAGCUGGUCUGAGAGGAUGAUCAGCCACACUGGGACUGAGACACGGCCCAGACUCCGACGGGAGGCAGCAGUGGGGAAUAUUGGACAAUGGGCGCAAGCCUGAUCCAGCAAUGCCGCGUGAGUGAUGAAGGCCUUAGGGUUGUAAAGCUCUUUUACCCGGGAUGAUAAUGACAGUACCGGGAGAAUAAGCUCCGGCUAACUCCGU